AGGAGGAGGUGUUGUGGCAGCGCUUGGACUCGCCGGAGGCCGCCAGAGAUCGAGGCGCCGCAAAGGAGAUCGAGGUCGUCGGCGACGCAGGUCAAGUGCGGGGAGUGACCUGGUGUGCAAACCCUAGCCGCCAUGGUUUCGUGCCCCCUCGAGCUCGUGCCGAUUCACGUCCUGCGGCCCCUCGUCGAGCUUGUUGUCGUCUUGCGAGCCCAGGUUGAUGCUGAAUUGCUUCAGAAUCAAUUACAUACGUAUGCUUCCACAUGAUUGAUGAUGUGCCCACAGGAGAGGCUCCGAAAGUUGAUGGUGGAA
Lolium rigidum is the source of this 309-nucleotide long non-coding RNA. RefSeq lists it as uncharacterized. The record is from RefSeq and is a predicted model, not a curated record. NCBI's taxonomy places the organism in Eukaryota, Viridiplantae, Streptophyta, Magnoliopsida, Poales, Poaceae. The transcript is spliced from 3 exons.